Molecule: ribosomal RNA, 1443 nt
Filed under: Limosilactobacillus fermentum
Lineage: Bacteria; Bacillati; Bacillota; Bacilli; Lactobacillales; Lactobacillaceae
Description: bacterial SSU rRNA
Rfam family: Bacterial small subunit ribosomal RNA
Source: RNAcentral
UGCAGUCGAACGCGUUGGCCCAAUUGAUUGAUGGUGCUUGCACCUGAUUGAUUUUGGUCGCCAACGAGUGGCGGACGGGUGAGUAACACGUAGGUAACCUGCCCAGAAGCGGGGGACAACAUUUGGAAACAGAUGCUAAUACCGCAUAACAGCGUUGUUCGCAUGAACAACGCUUAAAAGAUGGCUUCUCGCUAUCACUUCUGGAUGGACCUGCGGUGCAUUAGCUUGUUGGUGGGGUAAUGGCCUACCAAGGCGAUGAUGCAUAGCCGAGUUGAGAGACUGAUCGGCCACAAUGGGACUGAGACACGGCCCAUACUCCUACGGGAGGCAGCAGUAGGGAAUCUUCCACAAUGGGCGCAAGCCUGAUGGAGCAACACCGCGUGAGUGAAGAAGGGUUUCGGCUCGUAAAGCUCUGUUGUUAAAGAAGAACACGUAUGAGAGUAACUGUUCAUACGUUGACGGUAUUUAACCAGAAAGUCACGGCUAACUACGUGCCAGCAGCCGCGGUAAUACGUAGGUGGCAAGCGUUAUCCGGAUUUAUUGGGCGUAAAGAGAGUGCAGGCGGUUUUCUAAGUCUGAUGUGAAAGCCUUCGGCUUAACCGGAGAAGUGCAUCGGAAACUGGAUAACUUGAGUGCAGAAGAGGGUAGUGGAACUCCAUGUGUAGCGGUGGAAUGCGUAGAUAUAUGGAAGAACACCAGUGGCGAAGGCGGCUACCUGGUCUGCAACUGACGCUGAGACUCGAAAGCAUGGGUAGCGAACAGGAUUAGAUACCCUGGUAGUCCAUGCCGUAAACGAUGAGUGCUAGGUGUUGGAGGGUUUCCGCCCUUCAGUGCCGGAGCUAACGCAUUAAGCACUCCGCCUGGGGAGUACGACCGCAAGGUUGAAACUCAAAGGAAUUGACGGGGGCCCGCACAAGCGGUGGAGCAUGUGGUUUAAUUCGAAGCUACGCGAAGAACCUUACCAGGUCUUGACAUCUUGCGCCAACCCUAGAGAUAGGGCGUUUCCUUCGGGAACGCAAUGACAGGUGGUGCAUGGUCGUCGUCAGCUCGUGUCGUGAGAUGUUGGGUUAAGUCCCGCAACGAGCGCAACCCUUGUUACUAGUUGCCAGCAUUAAGUUGGGCACUCUAGUGAGACUGCCGGUGACAAACCGGAGGAAGGUGGGGACGACGUCAGAUCAUCAUGCCCCUUAUGACCUGGGCUACACACGUGCUACAAUGGACGGUACAACGAGUCGCGAACUCGCGAGGGCAAGCAAAUCUCUUAAAACCGUUCUCAGUUCGGACUGCAGGCUGCAACUCGCCUGCACGAAGUCGGAAUCGCUAGUAAUCGCGGAUCAGCAUGCCGCGGUGAAUACGUUCCCGGGCCUUGUACACACCGCCCGUCACACCAUGAGAGUUUGUAACACCCAAAGUCGGUGGGGUAACCUUUUAGGAGCCAGCCGC